AUUGAACGCUGGCAGCAGGCUUAACACAUGCAAGUCGAGCGGGGGAAGGUAGCUUGCUACCGGACCUAGCGGCGGACGGGUGAGUAAUGCUUAGGAAUCUGCCUAUUAGUGGGGGACAACAUCUCGAAAGGGAUGCUAAUACCGCAUACGUCCUACGGGAGAAAGCAGGGGAUCUUCGGACCUUGCGCUAAUAGAUGAGCCUAAGUCGGAUUAGCUAGUUGGUGGGGUAAAGGCCUACCACGGCGACGAUCUGUAGCGGGUCUGAGAGGAUGAUCCGCCACACUGGGACUGAGACACGGCCCAGAAUCCUACGGGGGGCAGACGUGGGGAAGAUUGGACAAUGGGGGGAACCCUGAUCCAGCCAUGCCGGGUGUGGGAAGAAGGCCUUAUGGUUGUAAAGCACUUUAAGCGAGGAGGAGGCUACUCUAGUUAAUACCUAGGGAUAGUGGACGUUACUCGCACAAUAAGCACCGGCUAACACUGUGCCAGCAGCCGCCGUAA
Molecule: ribosomal RNA, 501 nt
Filed under: uncultured bacterium
Lineage: Bacteria
Description: partial 16S ribosomal RNA
Rfam family: Bacterial small subunit ribosomal RNA
Source: RNAcentral